ACGAACGCUGGCGGCGUGCUUAACACCUGCAAGUCGAACGGUGAAGGGACUGGUUUUGCUGGUCCUGGAUGAGUGGCGAACGGGUGAGUAACACGUGAGUAACCUGCCCCCUUCUUCUGGAUAACCGCAUGAAAGUGUGGCUAAUACGGGAUAUUCUGGGUCUGUCGCAUGGUGGGCCUGGGAAAGAUUGCGCCUUUUUUGGUGUUUUUGGUGGGGGAUGGGCUCGCGGCCUAUCAGCUUGUUGGUGGGGUGAUGGCCUACCAAGGCGGUGACGGGUAGCCGGCCUGAGAGGGUGGACGGUCACACUGGGACUGAGACACGGCCCAGACUCCUACGGGAGGCAGCAGUGGGGAAUAUUGCACAAUGGGCGCAAGCCUGAUGCAGCGACGCCGCGUGAGGGAUGGAGGCCUUCGGGUUGUGAACCUCUUUCGCCAGUGAAGCAGGCCUGCCUCUUUUUGUGGGUGGGUUGACGGUAGCUGGAUAAGAAGCGCCGGCUAACUACGUG
RNAcentral lists this ribosomal RNA (505 nucleotides) under uncultured bacterium. RNAcentral describes it as "partial 16S ribosomal RNA". It matches the Rfam family "Bacterial small subunit ribosomal RNA", at positions 29 to 507 of the family's 1533-position model. The record is from RNAcentral.